CAGGAAGUAUGGCUUCAGAUACUUUCUAGCUAUGUGAUUCUGAGUAAAUCACUUUAAACUUUGUCCACCUCAAUCUCCUCAUAUGUAAAAUGAGAAAAGAUUUUUUUCCUGACAGUUUUUAUGAGGAUAAAACAAUACAAUAUUAGUAAAACAUCUUGAAAACUUUAGAGUGCUAUAUAAAUACUAACUCUUAUUAUUGUGUUUAUUAUUAAUUGUCAGAUUUCCAAGUGAGAUCAUAAGACUGAUGAGGACAAUGGAGCAGAGGUCACAGAUUUGUUGGGGAGGGCACAUGACCCCAUUCUGCAAUAAAAGUCUCUUCAAUCAUGUGCUCUUAAAUGCAAACUCAUCUGGAGGACAAAGGGAUAUAGGUUGAAUAGGCUGCUUCUGGACAGUACCCUCUACUUUCUGAAGUCCUAGGGUAUUAGAUUUAGAACUAGAGGAGACAUCACAUGAGUUCUAGUUUAAUUCUGUCCCCCUCCAACAUUUUACAAACAUCUUAUUUUGAUUAAUAGGUUAACUCAGAACUGUCUGUUCAUACCAAUUCUUAAAUUCUAAUAGCUGAUAAAACUGGUUUUGAAGUAUAUGAGAAGAUUAUUUUGAACUUUUUAAAAAGUGCAUUAUACUUAAAAAAAAAGAAAGGUGGGAUGGGGAAGAAAAAUGUAAAUCAAUCAUACAAUACAGAAGUCAGGCCUAGAAAAAAUCUUAGCAAGAAUCUUAUCCAAGGUCAUCCCUUCAUUUUACAGAUAAGAAAACUCUGAAGUCCAGAAAGGUUAAAUAACUUGCCAGAUCCAGAUAGAUCAGGAUUUAAACUCCGGGCCCUUUGAGAAUGCCCAAGUUAAUAUUCUCCCCUUCCACAGUACCAUACUGGGCAAAUUCAGUGAGACUAGGACCAUAGGAAGGGACCCGCUAUUGGAUUCUUUCUACUAGAGGAAAUUCAUUCUUCCUUCUCCCCCCACACCUCCCCACCAAGGAUAUUUUUCUGGCUUUAACCUUUAGUCUGACCCUGAAUACAAGUGGUCCAAGUCAGCAUUGCAUUAUUAACAGAAGCUCUCAUUAGUGUAUGUAUAUAUAAUACAUAGAGUUCAAAGAAGAUCAAAGAUUUAUGGGAGAAUUGUAAAUUACAGUUCAUCCAUCUACCAUUUAGUCUAUACAAUUCUUUUAAAGCCUCUCCCACCUGCUAAGCCACAUCCACUGACAAAUAAAAAGGGUACAAAACACGCUUCAUUUCUCACAUUGCUUAGAACAAGAUUUCUAGUAUAGCUUUCCUCCCGCCUUCAUGAGAAAGAGAAAGGAUAUUUCUAUUAAGUAGUCUCUUAUGAAACUUAGCAAGGGUUUGAAGCUCAGGGCCCUAAACCAAGACUUAUUACAAUUACUUCUUGCAUUUCAAGUUAUAGAGACAGAUUUCCCCAACAUAAAGUUAUUGAUAAAGUGGCAUCUAGAAAGAAGUCGAUUCAGGGCACAAUCAGAAUCAACCCUUUAACCCAAACACAAAUCACCUUUUUUUUUUUAAAUGAGUCAUCUCUCUAAGCUGUUGUCUCAUGGCUAAAGAGUCAAGAAAUAAAUAAAAUUGCCAUAUGAUGUGGUGUAAUGGAAAGAACACUGCAUUGGGUCCAGAAGACCUGGUUUCAAAUGUUAGCUCUGUUGCUUAUUCUCUUGAUGAUAUUAGACCAAAAUUUCAGACUCUCUGGACUUCCUCAUCUGUAAAAUAGCAUCUCUCUCCAUACUUCUCCUCCUCCCACCCUUUCUCUCUCACACCUCUCCCCCCACAACAGCUGGUGGGAAAUUGUCAAAGAUAUAGUCACAAGUGCUAUUUUGGGAACUGUCCUUGGUGCCUGGUCACUUGAUAGUGUAUCCAGGGGACUAGAGCAUUACUGAUCUUUCCCUAGUCCAACCUAGAGGGAAGAGAAAAGUGUGUGUGUGUGUGUGUGUACACACACACACACACACACAUCCUUCCAGUUUGAGAUCCUAUGAUCCAUGAUUGAUUCACAUAUUUCUCCCCAUGCCUAAUCUUCAUUUUGAAAAAUAAAUACAUCCUUUAAAAAACGGGCUCUUUCCUAAACUACUUCAUUGUAGUUUUAAUCAGUAUCAGGGAUGAUUGUUUAAGUAUUGUUAAGAACAGAGAUAUAAAUUAUUCUGUUAACAAAUCAGAUGUUCCAUCACUGAUCUCUUCAAUAGCUCUGGAUAAGAUGUAAACGAUCCUGCUGAGGAAGGAAAUUAUGAUCUCAUUUGAUUCUGAGACUCAUGUCUGUCCACAACCACAUAUCAAUUUAGCUGAACAAUUUCUUCCACAUUUUCAUGGUAGACUAUCUGUAAAAGGGAUAGGUAUUUGGAAAGGUGAAAAAGGGAGGAUUAUCUAAAUAAAUGCAAGUGAUACUUUGAAUUUGGACAUAACUAAUAAAAGACUGGGAAUCUCAGGAGAGAGUCUAGUUUCGGGACCAUCUCAGAUUAUUUCUUUCUCCACUGAGCCUUUUGAGGUGACAGAACUACAUUUAGUAUUUUGAGAGAGAAGGAGGAGGACAGAUAUUUUGGAAAUCACAGGAGUCAAACACUACAUUCUGUCUAUGUGAGUCAUUUCCUCUCAUUCUUAUUAACCUUGGGAAGAUCCCAAGGCCAUAUGGGCAAGCCAGCAUCUGCUGAAUAAAAACAAAACAGGAAAAAGGGAAUUCAUAUGAACCAUAAGAAUAAGGGGCUAUAAACUAUGUUCUUAUAGAUUGAUUUAAUUUCACUCAAAGGAUCAGGUUUGCUUAGGGAGGGGCUAUUCAGGGAGAUGUCAGCAUUGACCUAAAAAUGGUUAAAUCCUUAACUAUUUCUCUUUCAAAGAAACUUUUUUUAUUGGCUAGAUGUAUGUUCUCCUUAUAU
Molecule: long non-coding RNA, 2862 nt
Organism: Sarcophilus harrisii (Tasmanian devil)
Lineage: Eukaryota; Metazoa; Chordata; Mammalia; Dasyuromorphia; Dasyuridae
Exons: 2
Source: RefSeq, a predicted model, not a curated record